RNAcentral lists this transfer RNA (72 nucleotides) under Ictidomys tridecemlineatus (thirteen-lined ground squirrel). Its description in RNAcentral is "Spermophilus tridecemlineatus (thirteen-lined ground squirrel) tRNA". It matches the Rfam family "tRNA". From Rfam's summary of the family: Transfer RNA (tRNA) molecules are approximately 80 nucleotides in length. Their secondary structure includes four short double-helical elements and three loops (D, anti-codon, and T loops). The record is from Rfam by way of RNAcentral. Lineage: Eukaryota; Metazoa; Chordata; Mammalia; Rodentia; Sciuridae.
GGGGUUGUGGCUUAGUGGUAGAGCACUUGCCUCGCAUUUGUGAAGCCCUGGGUUCCAUCCCCAGCGUUACCA